GCGGCGGCGCAGCCGUUGGAGUUGGACCCCAACCUGGUUGGGCAGCGGUUGGAGUUGGACCUCAACCUGGUUAGGCAGCGGUUGAUCGAGCGGCUAGCGAAAGAGCAGGCGGCCGUCGACAACAGGCGACGGGAACAGCAGUACAACUCGCUGCGCGCGGAAGAGGCGAUGUACAAGAAGGAACAGGAGAAACUAUCACAAGCAAAGGUUGUGGUAAAGGUGAAACCCAAGCAGGACAAACUAGGUAUAAACUGGAGUUGGAUCAAGAACAAGAUUUUUCAUAGAGAAGGAAGGGAAAUAUGUUCGGAACAUGUGAACCACCAGACACAUCCCAUCACUGAAGUCAGAAGGCAUCAUAGGCUUGCUUCUGACGAGGCGAACCAUCUUAAUGCCUAUUCAGAAUAUAGACCGGUGAUUGGAGAUGGGGAGUGUUUCUACAGGAGCUUCAUAUUUUCGUACCUUGAGCAAGUUAUUGAUAGGCAGGACACACAUGAGGAACAUCGUCUCCUUCGUGUUGUUGAAAGAAUGUCCAUGCAACAUGCAAAUCUUGGAUGGAACUCUGACUUUCGCAGGAGCAGCAAAGCAUUUAAGAAUCUGAUCAAGAAAAUAAUGAGACUGAAACAUGGCAGAGAAUCAACUAGCAGCCGCCGUAAAGAGAAACUUCUCAAGUUCUUCAGCAAGGAUGAUACGACACUAGACAUUUUCAUUUUCCUCAGAUUAGUAGUAGCUAUCCAGAUGUGCUCGCACAGGGAGGUGUAUGAACCGCUUAUACCAGGGCUCAGAGGAAAUUACAAUCUGGAACAUUGGUGCUUUUGGCGUGUCACUCCAGCUCGUCGGUUCACGGAUCAUGUUAUGAUGGUGGCCUUGGCCAGAGCGCUUGAGGUCCCCCUCAGAGUGGAGCGAGUCCGAGGAGGAUAUGAUCCAGAUAUCUACACUGGUCCUGGAGUUCCCCAUCCGAGAGUGACCCUGCUGUACUCGGCAAAUCACUAUGAAAUCAUCUACCCACGUGCUCCUUCUGCUGAGAGUUCAAGUCAUCAGGCUUCCCAGAUAGAACAUGCUACUGAUCAGGGUUCAAUGUACUACUUUGCAAUGUACUACCUAUGUUUCUUUAAACUGCCAAAAUGUCAU
Molecule: ribosomal RNA, 1128 nt
Filed under: Triticum aestivum (bread wheat)
Lineage: Eukaryota; Viridiplantae; Streptophyta; Magnoliopsida; Poales; Poaceae
Description: partial small subunit ribosomal RNA
Source: RNAcentral